UCCAUCUUGUCUUUCUCCUCCCCGUUGCCCUUAGCAACAAAUGUAUCCAGCCCUCAGUCCCUCCCUGGUUCCCUGUCCCUCACUCGGUGGCCCAACCCUUCUAUCCAGAACCUUCCAUCCUAGGCAUCGAGUGAUUGGAUCAGGGGCCAGGGCUCCUCCCUUGGUCUUCCCCCAUUGGAUACCCUACACUGUCUGUUAUCCUCUCUACACUCCUACCUUAUUUCUGAUUUGCUGCUCUGUCUAUACCCACCUUCCCUUAUAAACCCAUGUCGGGACUCAGUCUUUGUGUUCAGAUGUGGGUUCUGCGUGGAGUGCCUCUGGACUGUAUCCCAGCUGGAGUCCGGCUCUUUUCUACCUCCUGCUGGACUGCAGUUCUCUCUCCCCUUCAGAAUUCUCGUCCCGCAAGGCUAAAGCCUUAGGCGCUUUCUAGACCCGGCCCGGGAUCAGGAGAGUGCCCCUGUGCUGCUGGCGGUGCUGGCCGCAGCUAGCUGGGAUUCACCUUCGAGGUCAGCUGCUGCUGCAGUGCAAUACCAUGGAAGAGGACCAGGAUCACAGGAAAGACUGGCUGCUAGUUGUCUUUUUCCACAUGAAGUGAAGUUAGCCUCCAUGUUCUGUCAAGACACCUUCCCCUGAUUUUGAUAUGGACGUGGAGAAAGUAAAAAUACUACUUUUAAACAAAAAAAAACAUAUUUCAAGACAGCUAACGUCAGGUAAGAGGAAGAGUUGAAGGUGUGAUGGUGAGAACAGCUUCAAGAGUGUGGACUCUUCCUUCCCACAGAAAGAGAAGAUAGGGCCUCCGUAUGCUGAAACACAGUCUGUGAAAGCAGAUUAGCUCUGUCUGUUUCAGGAAAAGCUGGGCAGGAAAAGAAAAGGUGUCUGCUCUGAAGGUUAUGUGGUUCAACUGGAGAAGAUCCCUCUGGGAAGAGAUGGCUCUUUCCCUAGCUGUGUUCAUUUCUGCCUUGGCAUUAUUAGAACUAUCAACAAACAGGGAGCAAAACACCUCCACAAAAUAUGAAGAGAAGAAAUCACACUGCCUGAAGCUGAAGAAAAGUCCCCAAAUCCACUUACAUCUAAGGUAUUUCAGCCCUAUGACAUAGCAUGGAAUGCAGGGUUUUUCCAAGGUAUUAGAGCUACCAACAAAUAUGUAGGCAAGAUUGUACUUAGUAGUGGAAUAUGUCCUACAUCCUAAGAUGUUUCUUUAUAACAUCUCCAAACAUGCCCAGAAGACUUCUCAGGUUUUCAGUGAAAAAAAAUGUAUUUGUUCUUGGAGGGACAGACUGUGAUACAUAUUACCUUGCAAGCACUUUUGGAAACAGUGGUUUUAUAAGCCAUAUAGAAUUGUUGUGAUUCAGAAUGCCAGGGGGUAAACUAAAACAAAAACAAAGUUUUAGUUUUUUUGAGGAAAAACAAAAAACCCAGAAACAAAACCCCUAAACCACUAUCAAAACCCAACAAACUAGCAAAAAAAUCCUCACAAAGAAAAACAAACCCAUAAACAAAGAAAACCAAACCAAAUCAAAACCAAAACCAAAACAAAAACCAAGUCACACAUUCCACACAUUUCGGUUCCAAGCUGCUAAGAAUUCAUAACAUUUUCACUCUGAGACCAAUGAGAGUUUGUGUUCUUAAGAACAUAUGAGCAACAUUCAGAGCUUCAGAAAUCAAUAGAUGCAUCCUAAAAUGGAGAAAAGGGUUAUGUUAUGCUUUUAUAUUUUAUAUACAUUUUCUGAGUCUCCAAGAAAUCACCAUGCUCUCCAUGUAAAGCACGUAUUUUUUGCAUCCAAUAUACACUAUCAUUCACCCCUAUCAGGAACCAUAUAGAAAAUAACACCUUCUUGUUUCCACUUCUCCUUUCCUACACAGCAAAAUGAAUUUAGAGCAGGCCCCAUUUCGCUUUGAAAGUACCCUUGCAAUAUUCUCUUAGCCUGUCAAGGCAAUAGUUUACCUGAUUCCAUGUCAUAUGUUCACCUUUCUGACUUCUUCUCUAUGUCCUCUCAGGACAUUCUAAGGAACAUAUUGCUUCCACUGUUCUUGAGCAUUCUUGUAGAUAAAGUCCACAUUUACAAUGAAACACAGCAUAACUACUGCAUCUGCUUCACACAAGCUUAAGAAAAACCUCCCAUUAAGCAUGUUUCUGAAUUUCUGCAGUCUCUGAUUUCUUUGCUCAUUAUUUUUUAGAAAUUCACAAAGCAAAGAGAAAAUCUUAAGUGCUCUUCACAUUAUCACUUAGACAUUCUGACUUUCUCAAGUCCAAAUCCAACAUAUUCUGCAAAAAUACAGUACAACCCAGAAAGAAAGUCUGCAUCUUUGAGAGUGCUUCCAUCCUUAUACAUAGACCUUGAAUUUCCAUUCAUGCAUGAAUGUGAAGUAUUCAUUUUUUUUUCUCAGAGUAAAAAAUUAGAUAAAACAAACCUGCAGUGACAGUGACAAAUUCAAAAUAUUUCCUAAUGGGGAUAACCAACAUAAAGUAGACAGGUUCUCAUUUAUAAAAAUAAAUAAAUAAAUAUUGGCUUGUCAUGGGUAGAUUUUAUGGACACCCAUUGAAUCACCUUCCAAUCAAAAAAAAAAAACCCAUCCUUCCUGGCAUUCCAUAAAAGAGAGGUUUCUAAAUUAUUUCAGUUCACUUGUCCCUCAAGAAGCAACACUUUCUGCCUUGGGAUUUAUGUAUUAUAACCACUGAAUUAAGAGAAUCAAACUUUUUAUGUUUUCCAUGCAUUCUUUUUUCUAACCUGGACAUCAAAACUCCUUUUUAAUGCCGUAAAAACAUCCAUUAACAAAGCAGAAGGACUUUAUUCUCCCAUUAUGGAGAUUUCUGUGAGAACUGCAUCACUAAAUUAUUAUUCUAUAUUUAUACCUGUUGAGAAGGUCAAGAUAGGAAGAUGUCAGGAAAAAAUUUGAGAAGAAAACAGAGGUUUAAUACAUAUUAUUUAGAGGGGGAAAAAGUAUAUGAAUGGAGAAAAGAAAUAGAGGAAAAUACAAGUUACCAAGGUCCAAAUGUAGACUGAACUUUCAGAAUGCAGAUCUAUGACAUUUCCAGCUUUGUGGGACAUAAGGACUAAAAUAUAGCAACAAAUAAUAUGUAUUUUCUUAUACAUGAAAUAAUCUGUCAUCAUUCUUCACUUUAUUUUACAAUCAAGAAGUACACUCUAUCUUAAAGUUCAGAAAAUCUGUUUUGUCUAGUUAUAACUGCUAUGAGAAAUAAAAGAUUUUUAAAGUCACAGUCACUGACCAUAAAUGCUGAAAGGUGUGUGGUAAGCUUCAAAUGCUCGUAAAUAUUUGCCUUUUCUUUUAGCCAGGUAGUCAUAGCAGCGCUCAUGAUAAAAGCUGGUAUAUCUAGUCUUGUUACACAGAUUCAGGUUUUUUUGCAAUAGGAACUUUCCAGGCACUGGUACUUCAGAGGCCAGCCAGCCUGUAUUAGCAGAUAGCACUGUGAAGCUGCAGGCUAGGUAGAAUCAGAGUAAUGACUCCUAUGAUUGGCACUGUUAAUGACUUUUCCCCUGAGUUCUUGCUCUGGCUAGUAUUUACUAUUUUUCCCUGUCUUCUCUGUCUUUUUGCAUUUUACACUGCAUCAGUAAACAAAAAAAUUCAAAUUGCAGAACACUACUUUUGAUCUAACAAAUUUCUCUAUAAUUUCUUUAUGAAUCCAUGGAAUUCAUUUUCCUAGUAAGCCUGCCAACUACACAAAGAAUGUCUUGAUGUUGGACUAGAGGUAAUAUAUGAAGACUAAACUCCAUCGGAAAGCAAAGAACUUAAUUAUUUUUUCCUUUGCUUUUAACAAACAACCACUUAGGCAAAAUAAAAAGUCUAGAGAUAUUAGUUCCUCUCUAGCAAUGAAGGUAUACAGUCAGUUUGUGCUUGAAUGUUACUGAACUCCUUCUGAAAUUACUACAGCUAUGUAUAUUAAAGGUGGAGUGUCAUUAAAAGUGGCUAUCCAUUUUAUCUACUUCUAGCUUGCAUAGGUGUUCAAUCUAAUCUUGUUAUCUAACCAAUGUGCACAGUCAGUAGGAGUUAAACACAGAGGAGGAGUCCUGUGUAAGUGUCUGAAUAGCUAGAGAUGCCUCACUUUGUCAAAUGACAAAAGAGAAAAUAAAUUAAAUAGCUUGACCAGAUUCCAAAUCUUAGACAACUAAAGUGAAUCUCGCACUGAAUAUCUACACUAAACAAGAAAAAUUCCAUUGUAGUAAGUAUCAAUGUUUCUGUGACCAAAUUUGCUUUAAUUUAGUGAGAGUUUUUUUCCCUCUCCCACAUACUUUAGAAGAUGAAAAUAAUCACUUUUAUUAUACUGUACACCUUAUGUUUCAACCAUUGCUUCUUAUAACAAUAGUAAUGUUAUACAGAGAGUCUGUUUUGAGAAUUGUCUUUCUUUUUUUACUGAAAAAGUUGGAUUCUGCCUUAGCCAUUCAAACUCUUUUGUUACUCACUGAUCUUAUUCACAUAUUAGGUAGGACUUUGGAAAAGCCCAGCAUUACAGUUCAGAACUGCAGAGAUAAGUCUGGAGACUUUGAAGAUUUAAAGACUUUAAAAAUAUGGUCUGGUGACUCCUUUCCAGAGUCCACUGGGGUCACUGUAAAUUUUUGCAUGUAUUUCAAAAGCCUUUGGAUCAAAUCACACUCACUCCACCUCUCAUAUAGAUAACUAUGCUUGUUUCAAAAAAAAGUUUGUAAUAUCAGAUUUGAAGGAAAUUUUAAAUUGACCACACAGAGAUACUAAUGUCUCCAGACUGCCCACUCAAACUGAGAAUAUAUGAGCUCCACCAUGUUUCUGUAACGAAACUGGCUUUCUUAUUUCAUGGUAGAAAGAAAUGUAUGUUUAACAUUCUGCAGAUGUCUAUGCAACGCAUAUCUGCAGCCAGAAUGAAUAAUUCUAAAAGGCUGGUGUUUGAACACAUGCUACAGCCCAGCAGAAUUAAAGGUGAAAGUUCAAGUACUGCAAUUUCAAACUAUUGAUCAAUGGUAAUUUUUGACACCCCUGGGUUAGUGAUGCUGGCAUAUGGCAAACAAGCAAACCACGAAGGUUAAGUAUGAAUCAUCAGUACAAACGUAAUUCACCUUCUUCAGUUUUCUUAGAUUUAAAAAACUUUUGCUGUUAGGUGUUUUCUCCUGCACAAUUCUGUGCAUUGCAGCAAGGCAUAUCUUGUAGACCAGGUCUUCUGAGCACAUCAAAUCAGAGAGAAUGUUGAGAAAGAAAGCUGCUUGUCUGUUCUUACCGAUUUGUCAGAUAACCUGAAAAAAUAAUUAUUUAUGUAUUACCACUAUGCUUUAUUACAUCAGGGAUGGCUCAAAUUUUCUCUCAUUUAUCUUUACACUUUCAAAAUUGUCAUAAAAAGAUUCCUUUGUCCUGCAGUUCUUUUGUUUAUUACACUAGAAGGUACAGAAAGGAUAAUCUGUCUCUUAAUGUGCUUACAUACUAGAUCUUGUUUAACUAAACAUAAUUUGGUUAAUACUCAUUGAACAAGGAUAUUCAGUCUUAUACUGAGUGCUUCUAUGUCAUUAUCAUUCAGCAUUGAUUUAUUCACUAGGAUGACAUUUAGGAACACUCCUUUCUGCACAUUCCUGUCCUUUUGAACAGUAUAUAAGAUCUGGAUUGGACUCGGUAAGAAUUUCAAGCAUAAUUCACCUUUGUCAAAAUUAUAGGAGAGAAAAAAAUAUUUUGCUUUCUUACAGUAUCUCUGUAAUGUUAUUAAAAGUUCUAGUUUUAUUCACUUUGUACUCUAAUUAUCUAUAUGUAUAGUAAGACCGUUGCUGAUCUGUAUGAAAAAAUACAGGUAUACCAUUCAUUUUGUAAGAACAUAGCCAGUAAUAAAGUAUUGUCAAUGCUAUUAACCGGCUGUAAGCUUUGUACUUAAUUUACACAGUUCCAGGACUGUGAUUUGUUAGACUUUCUCUGCCCGCAACUUUGUUUUUAUUUGGUUUACCUGCAACUGUAGUUCCUCUGAAUGAGCAAGUGUCUAGGCCUCAUUUGUUUUACUUUUGUUUAUCUUUGUAUUGUAGAAUUGUAGAAUCAUAAUACAAUUUUUAUGCACAUAGCAGCAGCAAGCAGUUAUUUCAUGUAUAGUGAGGUGUUUAUGAGUCUUACAUGGUAUUCUAGUAUAGAGAAAUACAGACCUGGAUAUCAGGAGAGUUAAGAAGAAGAGACAGAGGAUGGAGCACUGAGAAGUGCAAACACAGGAUGGUAAGAGAUGGGCAGUCUGGCCCCAGAGGCCAAAAAUCAUAAACUACUCAGCCUCAGUCAUUGAAAGAAAUGCAGAUCUGGAACUGCACAGAACUGCAUUUAGUAAUUACAAGCAGAACACAAGACUGAUGUCAAACACACUGGAGUUCACUACUCAUGGCACAGCUGGAUUCCACCUGGAGCUUCAGAAUAAGGAAGAAAGAGUAAUGUGUGAAAGUGUGCAGGCAAGCACACAAAAAUGACCCCUAGUGAAUCCUAGAGUCAGGAAGGAACCAUCAGCAAGAACUCCACAUUCCUCCUGUUGAUGAAAGACUCCGGAUGCCAAUGACUAACUUUAAAAUCCCACAGCUAGAAUUAAACCUCCAACCUCACAGCCCAGAGAAGAAGGGUGAGCUCAUCAGGAAAAGAUACAAAAACUAAAUGCAUGUAUAACAGUUGAAGCACAUUAUUAGUGUUUCUUUACACAAUAACACUUCAGUCUAGACUAAAAAUUAAUAGAGUCUAAAGAUUUCCAUUAUAUGAGCAAUAAAUUAUUUUCAUUCUUUAAAUAUACAUCAGGUCUUUUCCUAUAAACAAAUUUGGAGCAUAAAAGCUUGUGGCUAAACAAUGCCCUGAAGAUAUUACCUUACUACUCAUGAUUAACAAAAGAAUAAUAGGACAUACAUACAUCAGUUAUAUGAUUUGGUUUCUAGAAAGUUAAUUUCACCUUAGAGACAUUUUAGUGAUGAUUUCAUAAUUUUUUCACUUGUUUUGCAAUCAUCAUGCUUUAGAGGAAAGAUGUGCUGUCACAUCAUAAACAUACAAAUUGAAUUUGAGAAAAAAAAUACCUUUAAACAUAUAUUGCAUGGCUUUAUUUCAGUCUCAAAUGAAAAUAGGAACUUUUCCUUUUACCUAAACAAGAAACAUAUAUAGCUUAUAAUUACAAAGUAAAAGAAGAGAGUUUAAUAUGUGUCUAAGAGAAUUUUCAGCUGCAAUUUAUAUUUGAAAUCUCCUCUGGAAGUUUUAGGGCAGUUUUGGGGGGGGUUAUUCUGGUUUUCUUUAAGGAAUUUUAUGUUACAUCAGCAAAGAAGAGUUAUUGACUAAAGCUGCAAGGAAGAAUUAUUGACUAAAGCUGCAAAUGAAAUCUGGGUUAAAAAAA
Molecule: long non-coding RNA, 7309 nt
Organism: Passer domesticus (house sparrow)
Lineage: Eukaryota; Metazoa; Chordata; Aves; Passeriformes; Passeridae
Exons: 9
Source: RefSeq, a predicted model, not a curated record